This 433-nucleotide ribosomal RNA is filed under the name uncultured bacterium. RNAcentral describes it as "partial 16S ribosomal RNA". It matches the Rfam family "Bacterial small subunit ribosomal RNA", at positions 29 to 507 of the family's 1533-position model. The record is from RNAcentral.
AACGAACGCUGGCGGCAUGCCUAACACAUGCAAGUCGAACGAGACCUUCGGGUCUAGUGGCGCACGGGUGCGUAACGCGUGGGAACCUGCCUUUAGGUUCGGAAUAACUCAGAGAAGUUUGAGCUAAUACCGGAUGAUGUCUUCGGACCAAAGAUUUAUCGCCUUUAGAUGGGCCCGCGUUGGAUUAGCUAGUUGGUGGGGUAAAGGCCUACCAAGGCGACGAUCCAUAGCUGGUCUGAGAGGAUGAUCAGCCACACUGGGACUGAGACACGGCCCAGACUCCUACGGGAGGCAGCAGUGGGGAAUAUUGGACAAUGGGCGAAAGCCUGAUCCAGCAAUGCCGCGUGAGUGAUGAAGGCCUUAGGGUUGUAAAGCUCUUUUACCCGAGAUGAUAAUGACAGUAGCGGGAGAAUAAGCUCCGGCUAACUCCGUG